Molecule: transfer RNA, 85 nt
Filed under: bacterium
Lineage: Bacteria
Description: tRNA-Ser
Rfam family: tRNA
About the family: Transfer RNA (tRNA) molecules are approximately 80 nucleotides in length. Their secondary structure includes four short double-helical elements and three loops (D, anti-codon, and T loops).
Source: RNAcentral
GGAGGUAUGGCACAAUGGUACUGCAGCUGAUUACUAAUCAGCCGACCGCAAGGUCUUGGGGGUUCGAAUCCCUCUACCUCCGCCA